CACACAUUCAGAUUCAUUCUCCUCUUCCUCUUGUAUUGGAGGGAGGAAGAGGAGAAAGGAUUUCUUCAAUAGUUAUACCAACUGAGUGACUGCGAACACUUCCGAAUAUGGGAAACGUAAAGGAAAUGCAACAAGGUUUUCGUUAACCCAUUCGUAAGGUGAAUCAUCAUUUGGCCACAUGAAUCCGUCCCUCAAGAUUUGCAGAUCACUAAUAGCUGCGGCAAGCUGCCGCAGAUUCCCAGGGAAGUUCUACACAAAUCUAAAAGCCUUCUGGAAACUACUGGGCAAACCCUCACCGUGAAUUAGUGUAAGAUUUAGUCGUAGUUACUCUUUGAAUAAAUCAGAAACCUUCUAACUUUACUUGAAUAACAUUUGCCAAGCUCCAUGUUAUGCGUAACAUUCAUUAAUCAUAGAUUCGAUUCAAAAGGAAUAUCCUGAAUUAGAGUAGAAUUGCCGUAAUAGUAAUGUUAUGAUGUACUAAAUUUAGCUCUGAAAUAGCAUUUAAGCAGUAAAUUUGGUCAAUGACUUGCGUCUAUAUUGACACGGUGGCCUCCCAGUUAGUGUGGACUUGCAACGUAUAUAUUAGCAUUAAGAUCGGUGUCUCCCAGGAAGUGUGUUGAUCCCAUAUAUGGCUUGUUGAAGGUUGGUCCAGUUGUCGAGGAAGGUAAAAAGACAAUGUUUCCUGUAUUGCAUGGAAUUGGUUCCCAUGUUUAUUUACACGUGGUGAAGGUGGGCGAGUGCGCGUUUCGUGCUAGUCCAGCAUUGUAACAACCUCAGGUAUUAUCAUUAAGUUUAGUAUUAGUUUCUUUGUAAUGAUUUCCCUCUGUUCGAGUAUACAUCUAUAAUACACUAUACAGUACACUGUGUAUACAGAUAAAAUGAAACUCCAUCACAAGGAAUACUAAAGCAUUUUCGGAUUCUGCUCAUUUCGUAUAUGUAAAGUGAAUGUCUCUAAACGUAUAAAUAUAGGCACUCAGUGUACAUACGUAUAUUGCACAUACAUAUACCCGCAUAUGUAUAU
Molecule: long non-coding RNA, 1021 nt
Organism: Penaeus indicus
Lineage: Eukaryota; Metazoa; Arthropoda; Malacostraca; Decapoda; Penaeidae
Exons: 3
Source: RefSeq, a predicted model, not a curated record